This 448-nucleotide ribosomal RNA is filed under the name uncultured bacterium. RNAcentral describes it as "partial 16S ribosomal RNA". It matches the Rfam family "Bacterial small subunit ribosomal RNA", at positions 330 to 792 of the family's 1533-position model. The record is from RNAcentral.
UCCAGACUCCUACGGGAGGCAGCAGUGGGGAAUAUUGGGCAAUGGGCGCAAGCCUGACCCAGCAACGCCGCGUGAAGGAAGAAGGCCCUCGGGUUGUAAACCUCUUUUAUCAGGGACGAAACAAAUGACGGUACCUGAUGAAUAAGCCACAGCUAACUACGUGCCAGCAGCCGCGGUAAUACGGAGGGUGCGAGCGUUAAUCGGAAUUACUGGGCGUAAAGCGCUCGUAGGCGGUAUGUCAAGUCAAGGGUGAAAUCCCCGCGCUCAACGUGGGAACUGCCUUUGAAACUGGCAAACUGGAGUGUGUGAGAGGAUAGUGGAAUUCCAGGUGUAGGAGUGAAAUCCGUAGAUAUCUGGAGGAACAUCAGUGGCGAAGGCGACUAUCUGGCACAUAACUGACGCUGAGGAGCGAAAGCGUGGGUAGCAAACAGGAUUAGAUACCCCAGUA